GGAAAGGUGGCCGAGUGGCCGAUGGCGCGUCCCUGCUAAGGACGUGUACCUCCGGGUACCGUGGGUUCGAAUCCCACCCUUUCCG
RNAcentral lists this transfer RNA (85 nucleotides) under Candidatus Rhabdochlamydia porcellionis. RNAcentral describes it as "tRNA-Ser". It matches the Rfam family "tRNA". From Rfam's summary of the family: Transfer RNA (tRNA) molecules are approximately 80 nucleotides in length. Their secondary structure includes four short double-helical elements and three loops (D, anti-codon, and T loops). Lineage: Bacteria; Pseudomonadati; Chlamydiota; Chlamydiia; Parachlamydiales; Candidatus Rhabdochlamydiaceae. The record is from RNAcentral.